RNAcentral lists this long non-coding RNA (1167 nucleotides) under Takifugu rubripes (torafugu). RNAcentral's name for it is "lncRNA (ENSTRUG00000031246.1)". The record is from RNAcentral. Lineage: Eukaryota; Metazoa; Chordata; Actinopteri; Tetraodontiformes; Tetraodontidae.
AACAGUCACUCACUCAGUCAGUUACUCAGUCAGUCACUCAGUCACACAGUCACUAACUCAGUCACACAGUCAGUCACACAGUCACUCAGUCACUCACUCAGUCACACAGUCACUCACUCAGUCACUCACUCACUCAGCCAGUCACUCAGUCAGUCACUCAGUCAGUCACACAGUCAGUCACACAGUCACUCACUCAGUCACACAGUCACUCACUCACACAGUCACUCACUCAGUCACACAGUCACUCACGCAGUCACUCACUCAGUCACUCACUCAGUCACACAGUCACUCACUCAGUCACAGUCAGUCACACAGUCACUCACUCAGUCACAGUCAGUCACACAGUCACUCACUCAGUCACUCACUCAGUCACAGUUAGUCACACAGUCACUCACUCAGUCACAUAGUCACUCACACAGUCACUCACACAGUCACAGUCAGUCACACAGUCACUCACUCAGUCACACAGUCACUCACGCAGUCACUCACUCAGUCACAGUCACUCAGCCACUCACUCAGUCACACAGUCACUCACUCAGUCACACAGUCACUCACGCAGUCACUCAGUCACACAGUCACUCACUCAGUCACACAGUCAGUCACACAGUCAGUCACACAGUCACUCAGUCACACAGUCACUCACUCAGUCACACAGUCACUCAGCCACUCACUCAGUCACACAGUCACUCACGCAGUCACUCAGUCACACAGUCACUCACUCAGUCACACAGUCACUCACUCACUCAGUCACACAGUCAGUCACACAGUCACUCACUCAGUCACACAGUCACUCACUCAGUCACACAGUCACUCAGCCACUCACUCAGUCACACAGUCACUCAGUCACACAGUCACUCACUCAGUCACACAGUCACUCACUCACUCAGUCACACAGUCAGUCACACAGUCACUCAGCCACUCACUCAGUCACACAGUCACUCAGCCACUCACUCAGUCACACAGUCACUCACGCAGUCACUCAGUCACACAGUCACUCACUCAGUCACACAGUCACUCACUCACUCAGUCACACAGUCAGUCACACAGUCACUCAGCCACUCACUCAGUCACACAGUCACUCAGCCACUCACUCAGUCACACAGUCACUCAGUCACACAGUCACUCAGCCAAUCAGAUCUUUACAUCCCUGUGGUUGAACUGAUUUAA